UGGCGCCCGAACAGGGACCUGGAAACGAGGGACUCCGUGAGGAAGAGGACGCCAAAGGACGGUCGACCGCUAACCCAGACAAAGGAGUAAAACUCUUCCGAUCUCCGCGGGAACCUGCCGCGUCUGAAUCGAAGGUAAGUGGCGCGUCCGAAAUGGGACAAGAAUUAAGUCAGCAUCAGAUCUAUGUAGGACAAUUAAAAGAGGCUUUAAAGAUACGAGGAGUAAAGGUUAAAGGUAAUGAUUUGUUUAAAUUUUUUGAUUUUGUGAAAGAUACUUGCCCUU
Molecule: non-coding RNA, 282 nt
Organism: Papio anubis (olive baboon)
Lineage: Eukaryota; Metazoa; Chordata; Mammalia; Primates; Cercopithecidae
Source: Rfam